CACGUAGGGGGCGAGCGUUGUCCGGAUUUAUUGGGCGUAAAGAGCUCGUAGGCGGCUCAGUAAGUCGGGUGUGAAAACUCCAGGCUCAACCUGGAGACGCCACCUGAUACUGCUGUGGCUAGAGUCCGGUAGGGGAGCAUGGAAUUCCUGGUGUAGCGGUGAAAUGCGCAGAUAUCAGGAGGAACACCGGUGGCGAAGGCGGGUCUCUGGGCCGAUACUGACGCUGAGGAGCGAAAGCGUGGGGAGCGAACAGG
Molecule: ribosomal RNA, 254 nt
Filed under: uncultured bacterium
Lineage: Bacteria
Description: partial 16S ribosomal RNA
Rfam family: Bacterial small subunit ribosomal RNA
Source: RNAcentral